Molecule: ribosomal RNA, 614 nt
Filed under: uncultured bacterium
Lineage: Bacteria
Description: bacterial SSU rRNA
Rfam family: Bacterial small subunit ribosomal RNA (bases 1-519)
Source: RNAcentral
CCUACGGGAGGCAGCAGUGGGGAAUAUUGGACAAUGGGCGCAAGCCUGAUCCAGCAAUGCCGCGUGAGUGAUGAAGGCCUUAGGGUUGUAAAGCUCUUUUACCAGGGAUGAUAAUGACAGUACCUGGAGAAUAAGCUCCGGCUAACUCCGUGCCAGCAGCCGCGGUAAUACGGAGGGAGCUAGCGUUGUUCGGAAUUACUGGGCGUAAAGCGUACGUAGGCGGUUAUUCAAGUCAGAGGUGAAAGCCCGGGGCUCAACCCCGGAACUGCCUUUGAAACUAGGUAGCUAGAAUCUUGGAGAGGUCAGUGGAAUUCCGGGUGUAGAGGUGAAAUUCGUAGAUAUUCGGAAGAACACCAGUGGCGAAGGCGACUGACUGGACAAGUAUUGACGCUGAGGUACGAAAGCGUGGGGAGCAAACAGGAUUAGAUACCCUGGUAGUCCACGCCGUAAACGAUGAUAACUAGCUGUCCGGUCACUUGGUGACUGGGUGGCGCAGACUACGACAUUAAGUUAUCCGUCCGUCGGGUAGGUACGGUCGGCGAAGAAUUAAAACUUAAAAGUAAAGUUAGUACGGACGUGAGACGAGCCGAACGGACGACGACGAGGGAGGUAGG